This is a non-coding RNA of Acanthosepion pharaonis, 114 nucleotides long. Lineage: Eukaryota; Metazoa; Mollusca; Cephalopoda; Sepiida; Sepiidae. The record is from the annotation of a GenBank genome assembly.
UUACGGCCACAUCGCGUUGAAACACCUGUUCCCGUAAGCUUACCGAAGUUAAGCAACGUUGUAUUUGUUCAGUAUCUAGGUGGGUGGUCGCAUGGGAAAAACAGGUUCUGUAAG